UGGGGAAUAUUGCACAAUGGGCGCAAGCCUGAUGCAGCAACGCCGCGUGAGGGACGACGGCCUUCGGGUUGUAAACCUCUUUUGGCAGGGAAGAAGCGAAAGUGACGGUACCUGCAGAAAAAGCACCGGCUAACCACGUGCCAGCAGCCGCAGUGAUACGUAGGGUGCAAGCGUUGUCCGGAAUUAUUGGGCGUAAAGAGCUCGUAGGCGGUUUGUCGCGUCUGCUGUGAAAACCCGAGGCUCAACCUCGGGCCUGCAGUGGGUACGGGCAAACUAGAGUGCGGUAGGGGAGAUUGGAAUUCCUGGUGUAGCGGUGGAAUGCGCAGAUAUCAGGAGGAACACCGAUGGCGAAGGCAGAUCUCUGGGCCGUAACUGACGCUGAGGAGCGAAAGCAUGGGGAGCAAACA
This 407-nucleotide ribosomal RNA is filed under the name uncultured bacterium. Its description in RNAcentral is "bacterial SSU rRNA". It matches the Rfam family "Bacterial small subunit ribosomal RNA", at positions 355 to 774 of the family's 1533-position model. The record is from RNAcentral.